This 383-nucleotide ribosomal RNA is filed under the name uncultured microorganism. RNAcentral's name for it is "bacterial SSU rRNA". It matches the Rfam family "Archaeal small subunit ribosomal RNA", at positions 330 to 713 of the family's 1478-position model. The record is from RNAcentral.
GUGCAGCAGGCGAGAAAACUUCACACUGUGCGAAAGCACGAUGAGGGAAUCCCAAGUGCUUGCACGUAAGUGUAAGCUGUUUCUCUGUCUAAAACGCAGAGAGAGUAAGGGCUGGGUAAGACGGGUGCCAGCCGCCGCGGUAAUACCUGCAGCUCAAGUGGUGACCGUUAUUAUUGGGCCUAAAACGUCCGUAGCCGGUUUAAUAAAUGCCUGGGUAAAUUGUGUAGCUUAACUAUACGAAUUCCGGGUAGACUGUUAAACUUGAGACCGGGAGAAGUUAGAGGUACUCCUGGGGUAGAGGUGAAAAUUCUGUAAUCCUAGGGGGACCACCAGUGGCGAAGGCGUCUAACUAGAACGGGUCUGACGGUGAGGGACGAAGCCCU